UCCUACGGGGGGCAGCAGUGGGGGAUAUUGCACAAUGGGGGGAACCCUGAUGCAGCGACGCCGCGUGGGUGAAGAAGUAUUUCGGUAUGUAAAGCCCUAUCGGCAGGGAAGAAUUUAGACGGUACCUGACUAAGAAGCCCCGGCUAACUACGUGCCAGCAGCCGCGGUAAUACGUAGGGGGCAAGCGUUAUCCGGAUUCACUGGGUGUAAAGGGAGCGUAGACGGCGCGUUAAGCCUGGUGUGAAAGCCCGCGGCCCAACCGCGGGACUGCAUUGGGAACUGGGGCGCUGGAGGGCCGGAGGGGG
Molecule: ribosomal RNA, 305 nt
Filed under: uncultured bacterium
Lineage: Bacteria
Description: partial 16S ribosomal RNA
Rfam family: Bacterial small subunit ribosomal RNA
Source: RNAcentral